This 699-nucleotide ribosomal RNA is filed under the name uncultured bacterium. RNAcentral's name for it is "bacterial SSU rRNA". It matches the Rfam family "Bacterial small subunit ribosomal RNA", at positions 1 to 724 of the family's 1533-position model. The record is from RNAcentral.
AGGAGUUUGAUCCUGGCUCAGAUUGAACGCUGGCGGCAUGGUUAAAACAUGCAAGUCGAACGAGAAGCAGGCUUCGGCCUGUGGACAGUGGCGAAAGGGCGAGUAAUGCGUUUCUAACGUGCCCAGAGGUCAGGGAUAGCCCAGGGAAACUUGGAAUAAUACCUGAUAACCCCGCGAAACCGUAUGGUUUUGCGUGCAAAGGUUUACUGCCUCUGGAUCGGGAAACGUCCUAUCAGCUUGUUGGUGAGGUAAAGGCUCACCAAGGCUAAGACGGGUAGCGGGUGUGAGAGCACGGCCCGCCGCAUCGGGACUGAGACACUGCCCGGACUCCUACGGGAGGCUGCAGUAACGAAUAUUCCGCAAUGCGCGAAAGCGUGACGGAGCAAUGCCGCGUGAAGGAUGAAGCACCUCGGUGUGUAAACUUCUGUCAGGGUUUAGGAAACAAAUGACCAUACCCAAAGGAAGAGCCGGCUAACUCUGUGCCAGCAGCCGCGGUAAUACAGAGGGCUCAAGCGUUAAUCGGAAUCACUGGGCUUAAAGGGUGCGCAGGCGGACUCGUCAGUGUCUUGUGAAAUCCCAUGGCUCAACCAUGGAACUGCAGGGCAUACUGCGAGUCUUGAACUCGGCAGGGGCAACCGGAACUCUAGGUGGAGCGGUGAAAUGCGUAGAUAUCUAGAGGAACGCCAAAGGCGAAGGCAG